Molecule: long non-coding RNA, 333 nt
Filed under: Oryza sativa (Asian cultivated rice)
Lineage: Eukaryota; Viridiplantae; Streptophyta; Magnoliopsida; Poales; Poaceae
Description: long non-coding RNA (OSAT_LNC000238)
Source: RNAcentral
CAUCAUCAUCAUCAUCUACAGCUCGUCAUGCUCGUCGUCGACGCCGCCCUCGCCGUCGGCGCCGCCACCCGGGGCGCCACCGGUCCUCUGGUAGACGGCGGAGAUGAUGGGGUUGCAGACGGCCUCGACCUCCUUGAGCUUCUCCUCGUACUCCUCCUUCUCGGCGGUCUGGUUCUCGUCCAGCCACUCGAGGGCCUCCUUGAGGGCCUCCUCCACCUUCUCCUUCUCCUCGCUCUCCAGCUUGUCCGCCAGCUUGUCCUUGUCGCCGACGGUGUUCUUCAUGUUGUACACGUAGGUCUCGAGCUGGUUGCGGGCGUCGAUCCGCUCCUUCAC